GGGGUGCACCAGGCGCGAAAACUUUACAAUGUGCGAAAGCACGAUAAGGGAACUCUGAGUGCCUCCUAAGGAGGCUGUUCAGAUGUUUAAAAAGCAUCUGGAGGAAGGGCUGGGCAAGACCGGUGCCAGCCGCCGCGGUAACACCGGCAGCCCAAGUGGUGGUCAUGCUUACUGGGUCUAAAGCGUCCGUAGCCGGCCAGGUAAGUUCCUUGGGAAAUUUGAUCGCUUAACGACCAAGCUACCUGGGAAUACUACCUGGCUUGGGACCGGGAGAGGUCGGAGGUACCUCAAGGGUAGGGGUGAAAUCCGUUAAUCCUUGGGGGACCACCGGUAGCGAAGGCGUCUGACCAGACCGGAUCCAACGGUGAGGGACGAAGGCUAGGGGAGCGAAGCGGAUUAGAUACCCGCGUAGUCCUAGCUGUAAACGAUGCGGGCUAGGUGUUGGCAUUACUGCGAGUGAUGCCAGUGCCGAAGGGAAGCCGUUAAGCCCGCCAUCUGGGGAGUACGGUCGCAAGGCUGAAACUUAAAGGAAUUGGCGGGGGAGCACCACAACGGGUGGAGCUUGCGGUUCAAUUGGAUUCAACGCCGGAAAUCUCACCGGAGGGGACAGCGAGAUGAAGGUCAGGCUAAAG
RNAcentral lists this ribosomal RNA (632 nucleotides) under uncultured bacterium. RNAcentral describes it as "bacterial SSU rRNA". It matches the Rfam family "Archaeal small subunit ribosomal RNA", at positions 327 to 964 of the family's 1478-position model. The record is from RNAcentral.